GGGGUUGUGGCUCAGUGGUAGAGCACUUGUCUAGCAUGUGUGAGGCACUGGGUUCAAGUCUCAGCACCA
RNAcentral lists this transfer RNA (69 nucleotides) under Ictidomys tridecemlineatus (thirteen-lined ground squirrel). RNAcentral describes it as "Spermophilus tridecemlineatus (thirteen-lined ground squirrel) tRNA". It matches the Rfam family "tRNA". Rfam says of the family: Transfer RNA (tRNA) molecules are approximately 80 nucleotides in length. The record is from Rfam by way of RNAcentral. Lineage: Eukaryota; Metazoa; Chordata; Mammalia; Rodentia; Sciuridae.